AAUGUUUAUUUCAUCUGCUUAAUCCCACAGGGGGUUAUAGGAAUUCCUAUAAACAGUUGAUCCAUCUGUCAAUAAGAGUUUAUUUCGGCUCCAUAUUUCCUUCAUGAAUUUUCAUGAAACUUGUUUUGUAAUUUGAGAUGAUGUGCUAAAUAUAUUAGUCAGGCUGGCAGCUCUAGGUCAAAGUCGCAUUUGAAGGUGGACGUUUGAGCAUGUAUAUUAGUCAGGCUGGCAGCUCUAGGUCAAAGUCACAUUUGAAGGUGGACGUUUGAGCAUGUAUAUUAGUCAGGCUGGCAGCUCUACGUCAAAGUCACAUUUGAAGGUGGACGUUUGAGCAUGUAUAUUAGUCAGGCUGGCAGCUCUACGUCAAAGUCACAUUUGAAGGUGGACGUUUGAGCAUGUAUAUUAGUCAGGCUGGCAGCUCUACGUCAAAGUCACAUUUGAAGGUGGACGUUUGAGCAUGUAAAUUAGUCAGGCUGGCAGCUCUAGGUCAAAGUCACAUUUGAAGGUGGACGUUUGAGCAUGUAUAUUAGUCAGGCUGGCAGCUCUACGUCAAAGUCACAUUUGAAGGUGGACGUUUGAGCAUGUAUAUUAGUCAGGCUGGCAGCUCUACGUCAAAGUCACAUUUGAAGGUGGACGUUUGAGCAUGUAUAUUAGUCAGGCUGGCAGCUCUACGUCAAAGUCACAUUUGAAGGUGGACGUUUGAGCAUGUAUAUUAGUCAGGCUGGCAGCUCUACGUCAAAGUCACAUUUGAAGGUGGACAUUUGAGCAUGUAUAUUAGUAAGGCUGGCAGCUGUACGUCAAAGUCACAUUUGAAGGUGGACG
Molecule: long non-coding RNA, 822 nt
Organism: Dreissena polymorpha
Lineage: Eukaryota; Metazoa; Mollusca; Bivalvia; Myida; Dreissenidae
Exons: 6
Source: RefSeq, a predicted model, not a curated record